Molecule: non-coding RNA, 144 nt
Organism: Gossypium hirsutum (cotton)
Lineage: Eukaryota; Viridiplantae; Streptophyta; Magnoliopsida; Malvales; Malvaceae
Source: Rfam
GGUUAAAAAUUUAAUCUAGUGUACAGUUAAAAAUCGAUAUGGCUGAUGGAAUAAUCAGAUAAUAACACAUGGUAUAUCAAGCGUAUCUAAUAGUGACAUAAAUGGAUAAAAUCUUAGCAGUAAAAAUAAGUAAAUUUUUUAACA